RNAcentral lists this long non-coding RNA (268 nucleotides) under Gallus gallus (chicken). Lineage: Eukaryota; Metazoa; Chordata; Aves; Galliformes; Phasianidae. The record is from RNAcentral.
UGGUUAUAUCCGUUAUUUCCGUAGUUGUUCUUGACCUGUCAGUUAAUUUUCUGCUGUAAGUUUCUGUGUCUGUGGAGGUUAUUUCUGUUAUUUCCGUUGUUUCCGUUAUUUCCGUUAUUAUUUACGUUGUUUUUUCUGUUAUUUCCGUUAUUAUUUUUGUUAUUUUGGUUUUUUCUGUUAUUUCCGUUGUUGUUCUUGACCUGUCACCUAAUUUUCUGCCGUAUGUUUCUGUCUCUCUGGAGCUUCUUUCCGUUUUUUCCGUUUUUUC